GGCGCGUUCGUCUAGUGGUUUAGGACGCUGGCCUCUCACGCCGGUAACACGGGUUCGAAUCCCGUACGCGCUACAA
This 76-nucleotide transfer RNA is filed under the name hydrothermal vent metagenome. RNAcentral describes it as "tRNA-Glu-CTC". It matches the Rfam family "tRNA". Rfam says of the family: Transfer RNA (tRNA) molecules are approximately 80 nucleotides in length. Their secondary structure includes four short double-helical elements and three loops (D, anti-codon, and T loops). Further hydrogen bonds mediate the characteristic L-shaped molecular structure. tRNAs have two regions of fundamental functional importance: the anti-codon, which is responsible for specific mRNA codon recognition, and the 3' end, to which the tRNAs corresponding amino acid is attached (by aminoacyl-tRNA synthetases). tRNAs cope with the degeneracy of the genetic code in two manners: having more than one tRNA (with a specific anti-codon) for a particular amino acid; and 'wobble' base-pairing, i.e. permitting non-standard base-pairing at the 3rd anti-codon position. The record is from RNAcentral.